GCUGGCCGCAGUGGCGCAUGCCUGUAGUCACAGCUACUUGGGAGGCUGAGGCUGGAGGAUCACUUGAGCCCAGGAGUUCUGGGCUGUAGUGUGCUGUGCUGAUCAGGUGUCCAUACUUAAGUUCUGCAUCAAUCUGGUGACCUCCCGGGAGCAGGGGAACACCAGGUUGCCUAAGAAGUUGUGAACCAGCCCAGGUUGUAAACGGAGCAGGUCAAAACUCCCAUGCUGAUCAGUAGUGGGAUCGUUCCUGUGAAUAGCCACUGCACUUCAGCCUUGGCAACAUAGCGAGACCCGUCUCUU
This is an unclassified non-coding RNA of Callithrix jacchus (white-tufted-ear marmoset), 300 nucleotides long. It matches the Rfam family "Metazoan signal recognition particle RNA". Rfam says of the family: The signal recognition particle (SRP) is a universally conserved ribonucleoprotein. It is involved in the co-translational targeting of proteins to membranes. The eukaryotic SRP consists of a 300-nucleotide 7S RNA and six proteins: SRPs 72, 68, 54, 19, 14, and 9. The record is from Ensembl. NCBI's taxonomy places the organism in Eukaryota, Metazoa, Chordata, Mammalia, Primates, Cebidae.